Molecule: ribosomal RNA, 497 nt
Filed under: uncultured bacterium
Lineage: Bacteria
Description: partial 16S ribosomal RNA
Rfam family: Bacterial small subunit ribosomal RNA
Source: RNAcentral
GAUGAACGCUGGCGGCGUGCCUAAUACAUGCAAGUCGAGCGAACGGACGAGAAGCUUGCUUCUCUGAUGUUAGCGGCGGACGGGUGAGUAACACGUGGAUAACCUACCUAUAAGACUGGGAUAACUUCGGGAAACCGGAGCUAAUACCGGAUGAUAUUUUGAACCGCAUGGUUCAAAAGUGAAAGACGGUCUUGCUGUCACUUAUAGAUGGAUCCGCGCUGCAUUAGCUAGUUGGUAAGGUAACGGCUUACCAAGGCAACGAUGCCUAGCCGACCUGAGAGGGUGAUCUGCCACACUAGAACUGAGACACGGUCCAGACUCCUACGUGAGGCAGCAGUAGGGAAUCUUCCGCAAUGGGCGAAAGCCUGACGGAGCAACGCCGCGUGAGUGAUGAAGGUCUUCGGAUCGUAAAACUCUGUUAUUAGGGAAGAACAUAUGUUUAAGUAACUGUGCACAUCUUGACGGUACCUAAUCAGAAAGCCACGGCUAACUACGUG